RNAcentral lists this ribosomal RNA (253 nucleotides) under uncultured bacterium. Its description in RNAcentral is "partial 16S ribosomal RNA". It matches the Rfam family "Bacterial small subunit ribosomal RNA", at positions 524 to 776 of the family's 1533-position model. The record is from RNAcentral.
UACGAAGGGGGCUAGCGUUGUUCGGAAUUACUGGGCGUAAAGCGCACGUAGGCGGCUUUGUAAGUUAGGGGUGAAAGCCCGGAGCUCAACUCCGGAAUUGCCUUUAAGACUGCAUCGCUUGAAUCCGGGAGAGGUGAGUGGAAUUCCGAGUGUAGAGGUGAAAUGCUUAGAUAUGACAUAGAACACCAAUUGCGAAGGCAGCUCACUACGGGAUCAUUGACACUGAGGCACGAAAGCGUGGGGAUCAAACAGG